CGAUGUGUGGCUGAGUCAGGUCUAAAGCUGAAGCGUGAACUCAUAAGCGCCUUGACCGUCUAUGCUGUAGUUACUUUGGGACGGAUACCGAGAUAGUUUCUACAACGGGGGUUCGAAUCCCACCGCAUCGG
Molecule: transfer RNA, 131 nt
Filed under: Rhizobium leguminosarum
Lineage: Bacteria; Pseudomonadati; Pseudomonadota; Alphaproteobacteria; Hyphomicrobiales; Rhizobiaceae
Description: tRNA-OTHER
Rfam family: tRNA
About the family: Transfer RNA (tRNA) molecules are approximately 80 nucleotides in length. Their secondary structure includes four short double-helical elements and three loops (D, anti-codon, and T loops).
Source: RNAcentral